This 274-nucleotide ribosomal RNA is filed under the name uncultured bacterium. Its description in RNAcentral is "partial 16S ribosomal RNA". It matches the Rfam family "Bacterial small subunit ribosomal RNA", at positions 523 to 796 of the family's 1533-position model. The record is from RNAcentral.
AUACGGAUGGUGCAAGCGUUAUUCGGAAUCACUGGGCAUAAAGAGCACGUAGGCGGCAGCAUAAGUCAGUGGUGAAGUCCCUCAGCUCAACUGGGGAACUGCCAUUGAUACUGUGCGGCUAGAAUGCGGGAGGGGCAGACGGAAUUCCAGGUGGAGCGGUGAAAUGCGUAGAUAUCUGGAGGAACGCCAGAGGCGAAAGCGGUCUGCUGGCCCGAAAUUGACGCUGAGGUGCGAAAGCUAGGGGAGCAAACGGGAUUAGAAACCCUAGUAGUCC